UACGUAGGGUGCGAGCGUUGUCCGGAAUUAUUGGGCGUAAAGGGCUCGUAGGCGGUUUGUCGCGUCGGGAGUGAAAAUCCAGGGCUUAACUCUGGACUGGCUUUCGAUACGGGCAGACUAGAGGUAUGCAGGGGAGAACGGAAUUCCUGGUGUAGCGGUGAAAUGCGCAGAUAUCAGGAGGAACACCGGUGGCGAAGGCGGUUCUCUGGGCAUUACCUGACGCUGAGGUGCGAAAGCGUGGGGAGCAAACAGG
This 253-nucleotide ribosomal RNA is filed under the name uncultured bacterium. Its description in RNAcentral is "partial 16S ribosomal RNA". It matches the Rfam family "Bacterial small subunit ribosomal RNA", at positions 524 to 776 of the family's 1533-position model. The record is from RNAcentral.